This 800-nucleotide ribosomal RNA is filed under the name uncultured bacterium. RNAcentral's name for it is "bacterial SSU rRNA". It matches the Rfam family "Bacterial small subunit ribosomal RNA", at positions 8 to 806 of the family's 1533-position model. The record is from RNAcentral.
AGAGUUUGAUCCUGGCUCAGGAUGAACGCUGGCGGCGUGCUUAACACAUGCAAGUCGAACGAAGCACCUUAUUCUGAUUUCUUCGGAAUGAAAAAUUCGGUGACUGAGUGGCGGACGGGUGAGUAACGCGUGGGUAACCUGCCUCAUACAGGGGGAUAACAGUUAGAAAUGACUGCUAAUACCGCAUAAGACCACAGCACCGCAUGGUGCAGGGGUAAAAACUCCGGUGGUAUGAGAUGGACCCGCGUCUGAUUAGGUAGUUGGUGGGGUAACGGCCUACCAAGCCGACGAUCAGUAGCCGACCUGAGAGGGUGACCGGCCACAUUGGGACUGAGACACGGCCCAAACUCCUACGGGAGGCAGCAGUGGGGAAUAUUGCACAAUGGGGGAAACCCUGAUGCAGCGACGCCGCGUGAAGGAUGAAGUAUUUCGGUAUGUAAACUUCUAUCAGCAGGGAAGAAAAUGACGGUACCUGACUAAGAAGCCCCGGCUAACUACGUGCCAGCAGCCGCGGUAAUACGUAGGGGGCAAGCGUUAUCCGGAUUUACUGGGUGUAAAGGGAGCGUAGACGGCAUGGCAAGUCUGAAGUGAAAGCCCGGGGCUCAACCCCGGGACUGCUUUGGAAACUGUCAGGCUAGAGUGCUGGAGAGGUAAGUGGAAUUCCUAGUGUAGCGGUGAAAUGCGUAGAUAUUAGGAGGAACACCAGUGGCGAAGGCGGCUUACUGGACAGUGACUGACGUUGAGGCUCGAAAGCGUGGGGAGCAAACAGGAUUAGAUACCCUGGUAGUCCACGCCGUAAA